Molecule: small RNA, 181 nt
Filed under: Arabidopsis thaliana (thale cress)
Lineage: Eukaryota; Viridiplantae; Streptophyta; Magnoliopsida; Brassicales; Brassicaceae
Description: ATSL094070
Source: RNAcentral
GUACUAACCUAAACACUAACCACCUAACUAACCUAGAGAUUACCCUAAUCUAAUCCAUCCUCAAGAACCCUAAUCACUACUCAAGCAACAUUCUAAAGAACACAAACCCAAAAAUUACUAAAAUCAUACCAAAAUGUAGAUCUAAACAAGCUAAACAACUUUACCGAAGUCUUCCUUAUUU